This 254-nucleotide ribosomal RNA is filed under the name uncultured bacterium. Its description in RNAcentral is "partial 16S ribosomal RNA". It matches the Rfam family "Bacterial small subunit ribosomal RNA", at positions 524 to 776 of the family's 1533-position model. The record is from RNAcentral.
UACGAAGGGGGCUAGCGUUGCUCGGAAUCACUGGGCGUAAAGCGCACGUAGGCGGCUUGUUAAGUCAGGGGUGAAAUCCUGGAGCUCAACUCCAGAACUGCCUUUGAUACUGGCAAGCUUGGAGUCCGGGAGAGGUGAGUGGAACUGCGAGCGUAGAGGUGAAAUUCGUAGAUAUUCGCAAGAACACCAGUGGCGAAGGCGGCUCACUGGCCCGGUACUGACGCUGAGGUGCGAAAGCGUGGGGAGCAAACAGG